GGAGGGUGCGAGCGUUAAUCGGAAUAACUGGGCGUAAAGGGCACGCAGGCGGUGACUUAAGUGAGGUGUGAAAGCCCCGGGCUUAACCUGGGAAUUGCAUUUCAUACUGGGUCGCUAGAGUACUUUAGGGAGGGGUAGAAUUCCACGUGUAGCGGUGAAACGCGUAGAGAUGUGGAGGAAUACCGAAGGCGAAGGCAGCCCCUUGGGAAUGUACUGACGCUCAUGUGCGAAAGCGUGGGGAGCAAACAGGAUUAGAUACCCUGGUAGUCCACGCUGUAAACGAUGUCGAUUUGGGGGUUGAACUUUAGGUUUGGCGCCCGUAGCUAACGUGAUAAAUCGACCGCCUGGGGAGU
This 353-nucleotide ribosomal RNA is filed under the name uncultured bacterium. RNAcentral describes it as "bacterial SSU rRNA". It matches the Rfam family "Bacterial small subunit ribosomal RNA", at positions 527 to 881 of the family's 1533-position model. The record is from RNAcentral.